RNAcentral lists this ribosomal RNA (516 nucleotides) under Clostridioides difficile. RNAcentral describes it as "bacterial SSU rRNA". It matches the Rfam family "Bacterial small subunit ribosomal RNA", at positions 246 to 780 of the family's 1533-position model. The record is from RNAcentral. Lineage: Bacteria; Bacillati; Bacillota; Clostridia; Peptostreptococcales; Peptostreptococcaceae.
UAGUUGGUAAGGUAACGGCUUACCAAGGCGACGAUCAGUAGCCGACCUGAGAGGGUGAUCGGCCACAUUGGAACUGAGACACGGUCCAAACUCCUACGGGAGGCAGCAGUGGGGAAUAUUGCACAAUGGGCGAAAGCCUGAUGCAGCAACGCCGCGUGAGUGAUGAAGGCCUUCGGGUCGUAAAACUCUGUCCUCAAGGAAGAUAAUGACGGUACUUGAGGAGGAAGCCCCGGCUAACUACGUGCCAGCAGCCGCGGUAAUACGUAGGGGGCUAGCGUUAUCCGGAUUUACUGGGCGUAAAGGGUGCGUAGGCGGUCUUUCAAGUCAGGAGUGAAAGGCUACGGCUCAACCGUAGUAAGCUCUUGAAACUGGGAGACUUGAGUGCAGGAGAGGAGAGUGGAAUUCCUAGUGUAGCGGUGAAAUGCGUAGAUAUUAGGAGGAACACCAGUUGCGAAGGCGGCUCUCUGGACUGUAACUGACGCUGAGGCACGAAAGCGUGGGGAGCAAACAGGAUUA